Molecule: ribosomal RNA, 236 nt
Filed under: uncultured bacterium
Lineage: Bacteria
Description: partial 16S ribosomal RNA
Rfam family: Bacterial small subunit ribosomal RNA
Source: RNAcentral
GAUCUGAUCAUGGCUCAGGACGAACGCUGGCGGCGUGCCUAACACAUGCAAGUCGAACGGAGAAUUUUAUUUCGGUAGAAUUCUUAGUGGCGAACGGGUGAGUAACGCGUAGGCAACCUGCCCUUUAGACGGGGACAACAUUCCGAAAGGAGUGCUAAUACCGGAUGUGAUCAUCGUGCCGCAUGGCAGGAUGAAGAAAGAUGGCCUCUACAAGUAAGCUAUCGCUAAAGGAUGGG